RNAcentral lists this ribosomal RNA (476 nucleotides) under uncultured anaerobic ammonium-oxidizing bacterium. RNAcentral's name for it is "bacterial SSU rRNA". It matches the Rfam family "Bacterial small subunit ribosomal RNA", at positions 365 to 832 of the family's 1533-position model. The record is from RNAcentral.
UUCGCAAUGCCCGAAAGGGUGACGAUGCGACGCCGCGUGAGCGAAGAAGGCCCUAGGGUUGUAAAGCUCUGUCGAGGGUUAUGAAAUAUAGAUGGGUUAAUACCCCAUUUAUUUGACAAAAGCCCAAAAGGAAGCCACGGCUAACUCUGUGCCAGCAGCCGCGGUAAUACAGAGGUGGCGAGCGCUGUUCGGUAUUAUUGGGCGUAAAGAGCACGUAGGUGGUUUUGUAAGUCAGGUGUGAAAGCCUUCUGUUCAAAGGAAGAACGGCAUCUGAAACUGCAGAUCUUGAGUGUAGGAGGGGAGAGUGGAACUUCUGGUGGAGCGGUGAAAUGCGUAGAUAUCAGAAGGAACGUCGGCGGCGAAAGCGACUCUCUGGCCUAUUACUGACACUGAGGUGCGAAAGUUAGGGGAGCAAACGGGAUUAGAUACCCCGGUAGUCCUAACCGUAAACGAUGGGCACUAAGUAGAGGGGUUUU